CCUACGGGUGGCAGCAGCAAGGAAUUUUCCGCAAUGGGCGCAAGCCUGACGGAGCAACGCCGCGUGUGGGAGGACGCCUUUCGGGGUGUAAACCACUUUUCUGGGGGACGAAGCAAGUGACGGUACCCUGGGAAGAAGGUCCGGCUAACUACGUGCCAGCAGCCGCGGUAAUACGUAGGGACCGAGCGUUGUCCGGAGUUACUGGGCGUAAAGGGCGCGCAGGCGGCCAGCCGCGUCGGGUGUGAAAGCCCACCGCUCAACGGUGGAGAGUCGCUCGAAACGGGUUGGCUGGAGGCAGGGAGAGGUCGGUGGAAUUCCCGGUGUAGUGGUGAUAUGCGUAGAGAUCGGGAGGAACACCAGUGGCGAAGGCGGCCGACUGGACCUGACCUGACGCUGAGGCGCGAAGGCGUGGGGAGCGAACGGGAUUAGAUACCCGAGUA
RNAcentral lists this ribosomal RNA (440 nucleotides) under uncultured bacterium. RNAcentral describes it as "bacterial SSU rRNA". It matches the Rfam family "Bacterial small subunit ribosomal RNA", at positions 338 to 792 of the family's 1533-position model. The record is from RNAcentral.